GUAACAGUAAAGAAACAUGUGUAACAUUAAAUUAAACAUUAAAGAAACAUGUGUUACAUUAAAUUAAACAUAAAAUAAAUGAGUAACAUUAAAUAAACAUGUGUUACAUUAAAUCAAACAUUAAAGAAACAUGUGUAACAUUAAGUUAAACAUUAAAGAAAUGUGUAAUAUUAAAUAAACAUGUGUUACAUUGAAUUAAAUUAAAUUAAACAUUAAAUAAACAUUUGCAACAUUAAAUAAACAUGUGUAAUAUUAAAUUAAACAAUUAAACAUCAAAUAAAUGUGUAAUAUUAAAUAUUGUCCCUGAUGGGAAACAUCAUCAUGACCAUUUUCUCAGAUACUUUUUUUUUUUUUUUUUUUUUCAAUAGAAUGUUUUUUGCAGUGGACAGUGUUUGUUUUUCCUUUUUUUUUUUAAAAACUAAGUAAAACUGUGAAAGGGGACAAAAAUGCAUCUGCACAGGCAUUUUCUUCAGUGUGAACUUCAAAUCCACUCGACAACAAAUGGAGACGGAGUUAUUUUUAAUUUUUUUUCUGUUUUUUGUAAGUGAAUCCAAAUGUUUACUCAGUCAUUUCUGCUUCAACCUGCAUCUGAAACAUCACAUGGAAUCACAUGACACUCACCGUCUCACUGUUCUUCACGCUCGUUCAUUUUUACGUCUGUAUUUCUGAGGUUCUAAACAGAGGUGUGGUUCAAACAUGUUCAUUUUUAACGUCUGUAUUUCUGGGGUUCUAAACAGAGGUGUGGUUCAAACAUGUUCAUUUUUAACGUCUGUAUUUCUGGGGUUCUAAACAGAGGUGUGGUUCAAACAUGUUCAUUUUUAACGUCUGUAUUUCUGGGGUUCUAAACAGAGGCGUGGUUCAAACAUGUUCAUUUUUAACGUCUGUAUUUCUGGGGUUCUAAACAGAGGCGUGGUUCAAACAUGUUCAUUUUUAACGUCUGUAUUUCUGGGGUUCUAAACAGAGGCGUGGUUCAAACAUGUUCAUUUUUAACGUCUGUAUUUCUGGGGUUCUAAACAGAGGCGUGGUUCAAACAUGUUCAUUUUUAACGUCUGUAUUUCUGGGGUUCUAAACAGAGGCGUGGUUCAAACAUGUCAGUCAGUGUUAAAGGAACACUGAGCUGUGAACACACCCUUUUCAGAACAGGUUUAAACUUCCUUUUUCCUGUCGGUGCUUCAGUUUUAAGGCAGAACGUCAGCUGUUUUCUGUGUCUGUGAAUUUAAGCUGUGACAGUGGUUUGUUUCCUCUGGUUUGUCGACACUUUGUGAUGUUUACUCUGUUUUUAUUCUGAUGUUUACCUUCUUUUAUGUCUUUUUAUCAAAGCCAUGACUGUUACUAAACCUCUGAUAAUAAAAUCCUUCUGCUGUUGUUUUGG
Molecule: long non-coding RNA, 1372 nt
Organism: Sphaeramia orbicularis (orbiculate cardinalfish)
Lineage: Eukaryota; Metazoa; Chordata; Actinopteri; Kurtiformes; Apogonidae
Exons: 2
Source: RefSeq, a predicted model, not a curated record